Long non-coding RNA from Musa acuminata subsp. malaccensis (wild Malaysian banana), 598 nucleotides. RefSeq lists it as uncharacterized. Lineage: Eukaryota; Viridiplantae; Streptophyta; Magnoliopsida; Zingiberales; Musaceae. The record is from RefSeq and is a predicted model, not a curated record.
UCUUUCCAGGAAUAUACCCCUCAUCCAUUCAAUGCAUCAUAUAAGCCUUGUUUGACAAGUUCUCUAGGCUCCUUCAGUUCCUCAUCUGUUUUCUAGGCUCCUGUAGAGAAAUUGCAGCUUUGAAUCUGUUUUGUUGAUGGUCAUCUAAUCAUUUCCAAAUUCCUCCCUGUCUUGUUGAGUGAGGCCAUGAUUAGAUGACCAUCAGCAAACAAGUUCACAAGACAUGCACAUCCUUGAUCUUUUCCCUACUGUGUGCAUAUUCUCAGUCCAUCACUGGUAUCAGGAGCUUAUGGCAAGUUGCUCUGUUAGAUAAUAGUGAUAACUAGUUGAUUGUGUUUCUGGGCAUCUGUUAGUAACACCUCAUGAUUAUACAAGGAUCAUUGCUGAAUAUGAUGGAUAUUGAUGGUACCUAGAGUAAAAUACAAGGCCAAAAAAAAUGCAAUUGCAGUGCAACCCUAUUUCCAAUUGCAUGUUCAUCUGCAUCUGUUCUAUUUGUAGCAUGAGAAAAGAAUACAUACAUAGCUUCACAUCCUGUCUUGUGAGAUUAUAGUGUAACAACACAAACUCAACAUACUGAUUGUUGAAGCUCUUUUUAUCA